CGUCGUGACGCACUCGCACCGUGUCCAGUCGCAUCGUAUAGAGACGAAUUAAGCCAACAAUACAAGGAAGUCUCACAUAACAAUGGACGAAAUGUAAACAAGAAGUACGCUUGAAUGAAACGGAUCGUGACAAUGAGGGAAAAAAAAUUAACGAACAUUGCAAUAAUGUGCAGCAACUGACGAAAUUACAAGAAAAAAAAUAAGGUUAAUAGCAUAGGUAUUACUGACCCUGAAAUUUCCUAUUUUAUCAGCCAGCAUGCCAGCGAGCGGCGGCAUCAUGAUUGAGACGACAGGGGUCACAGCCGACAUGAUUGCAGUCUCCUCCACAUUGAUGCCCAACUCUCGCAUGUGAAUCGUCAAAUAGGGAUAGAGUACGAACAAAGCUGGAAACAUUACUUACUAAACAACAAUAUAGACAAAUAGUUCAUAUCGUAAGGGUAAAGGAUUUAGCUUUACAACUCAUGUGUAAGACUAUACAUAGAUUGUCAACUAGGCAAAUUAAUGACAUGAGAAAAAAAACUUUCUUAAAUUACGUUACAUAAUAAAGUUAUAGAAACAAACAACAAAUGUACGACAGAAUUAAAUACUUCUUUUUAAAGUUUUUAUAAAAUCUAAGAGAUGACAUUAUAUAAUACGCAUAUAUUGAGGCUACAGACACGAAUCGCAUAAUCAAUAGCUGUGAUCGUUGUACCAACAACUGGCAACCUUUGGCAUAUAACGACAUUAUGUUUAUAACUUAUUUGUAUACUCACUAGAUGCAUGCAUAAAAAAUAGAAUCUUCAAAGGUACUAGUUUCUUCUGUUUGAGAUCGUCUGUGAUCCGUGUGAAAAAUAAUCUAAGAAACUGCAUUUUGUUAUAUUACACGUAACUUCUGUGAGUGAUUCUGUCAGUACAGUCAAUGUCCUAGGUUGGAAAAUUGUUUGUUAUCCAGCUUCCCGCAUAUAUGCAACUUGUCCGUCUCUCUUGAUUCAUGGAAAUGUAUUGUUUAGGUUAAUAUC
This is a long non-coding RNA of Danaus plexippus (monarch butterfly), 998 nucleotides long. RefSeq lists it as uncharacterized. The transcript is spliced from 2 exons. NCBI's taxonomy places the organism in Eukaryota, Metazoa, Arthropoda, Insecta, Lepidoptera, Nymphalidae. The record is from RefSeq and is a predicted model, not a curated record.